UACGUAGGGGGCUAGCGUUGUCCGGAAUCAUUGGGCGUAAAGCGCGUGUAGGCGGUCCGGUAAGUCCGCUGUGAAAGUCGGGGGCUCAACCCUCGAAUGCCGGUGGAUACUGUCGGGCUAGAGUGCGGAAGAGGCGAGUGGAAUUCCUGGUGUAGCGGUGAAAUGCGCAGAUAUCAGGAGGAACACCAGUGGCGAAGGCGGGUCUCUGGGCAGUAACUGACGCUGAGGAGCGAAAGCGUGGGGAGCGAACAGG
RNAcentral lists this ribosomal RNA (253 nucleotides) under uncultured bacterium. RNAcentral describes it as "partial 16S ribosomal RNA". It matches the Rfam family "Bacterial small subunit ribosomal RNA", at positions 524 to 776 of the family's 1533-position model. The record is from RNAcentral.